CGGGGUGAGUAAUGUCUGGGAAACUGCCUGAUGGAGGGGGAUAACUGCUGGAAACGGGAGCUAAUACCGCAUAACGUCGCAAGACCAAAGAGGGGGACCUUCGGGCCUCUUGCCAUCGGAUGUGCCCAGAUGGGAUUAGCUAGUAGGUGGGGUAACGGCUCACCUAGGCGACGAUCCCUAGCUGGUCUGAGAGGAUGACCAGCCACACUGGAACUGAGACACGGUCCAG
Molecule: ribosomal RNA, 229 nt
Filed under: uncultured bacterium
Lineage: Bacteria
Description: partial 16S ribosomal RNA
Rfam family: Bacterial small subunit ribosomal RNA
Source: RNAcentral